AAUGAACGCUGGCGGCAGGCCUAACACAUGCAAGUCGAACGGAUCCUUCGGGAUUAGUGGCGGACGGGUGAGUAACGCGUGGGAACAUACCCAAAGGUGCGGAAUAGCCUCGGGAAACUGGGAGUAAUACCGUAUGUGCUCGAAAGAGGAAAGAUUUAUCGCCUUUGGAUUGGCCCGCGUUGGAUUAGGUAGUGAGUGGGGUAAUGGCCUACCAAGCCGACGAUCGAUAGCUGGUUUGAGAGGAUGAUCAGCCACACUGGGACUGAGACACGGCCCAGACUCCUCCGGGAGGCAGCAGUGGGGAAUCUUAGACAAUGGGGGAAACCCUGAUCUAGCCAUGCCGCGUGAUCGAUGAAGGCCUUAGGGUUGUAAAGAUCUUUCAGGUGGGAAGAUAAUGACUGUACCACCAGAAGAAGCCCCGGCUAACUCCGUGCCAGCCGCCGCCGUAA
Molecule: ribosomal RNA, 449 nt
Filed under: uncultured bacterium
Lineage: Bacteria
Description: partial 16S ribosomal RNA
Rfam family: Bacterial small subunit ribosomal RNA
Source: RNAcentral